GAUGAACGCUGGCGGCGUGCCUAAUACAUGCGAGUCGAGCGAACAGACGAGGAGCUUGCUCCUCUGACGUUAGCGGCGGACGGGUGAGUAACACGUGGAUAACCUACCUAUAAGACUGGGAUAACUUCGGGAAACCGGAGCUAAUACCGGAUAAUAUAUUGAACCGCAUGGUUCAAUAGUGAAAGACGGUUUUGCUGUCACUUAUAGAUGGAUCCGCGCCGCAUUAGCUAGUUGGUAAGGUAACGGCUUACCAAGGCAACGAUGCGUAGCCGACCUGAGAGGGUGAUCGGCCACACUGGAACUGAGACACGGUCCAGACUCCUACGGGAGGCAGCAGUAGGGAAUCUUCCGCAAUGGCGAAAGCCUGACGGAGCAACGCCGCGUGAGUGAUGAAGGUCUUCGGAUCGUAAAACUCUGUUAUUAGGGAAGAACAAAUGUGUAAGUAACUAUGCACGUCUUGACGGUACCUAAUCAGAAAGCCACGGCUAACUACGUG
This 496-nucleotide ribosomal RNA is filed under the name uncultured bacterium. Its description in RNAcentral is "partial 16S ribosomal RNA". It matches the Rfam family "Bacterial small subunit ribosomal RNA", at positions 28 to 507 of the family's 1533-position model. The record is from RNAcentral.